RNAcentral lists this ribosomal RNA (20 nucleotides) under Pseudocercospora eumusae. RNAcentral's name for it is "partial 18S ribosomal RNA". Lineage: Eukaryota; Fungi; Ascomycota; Dothideomycetes; Mycosphaerellales; Mycosphaerellaceae. The record is from RNAcentral.
UGAAAAAAAAGAGAGGACUU